CGGCUAACUACGUGCCAGCAGCCGCGGUAAUACGUAGGUGGCAAGCGUUGUCCGGAUUUAUUUGGGCGUAAAGCGAAGCGCAGGCGGUUUUAAGGUUCUUGAUGUGAAAGACCUUCGGCUCAACCGAAGAAAGUAGCAUCGGAAACUAGGGAAACGUUAGAGUGCAGAAGAGGACAGUGGAACUCCAUGUGUAGCGGUGAAAUAGCGUAGAUAUAUGGAAGAACACCAGUGGCGAAGGCGGCUGUCUGGUCUGUAACUGACGCUGAGGCUCGAAAGUAUGGGUAGCAAACAGGAUUAGAUACCCUGGUAG
RNAcentral lists this ribosomal RNA (310 nucleotides) under uncultured bacterium. RNAcentral's name for it is "bacterial SSU rRNA". It matches the Rfam family "Bacterial small subunit ribosomal RNA", at positions 494 to 793 of the family's 1533-position model. The record is from RNAcentral.